This 531-nucleotide ribosomal RNA is filed under the name Triticum aestivum (bread wheat). Its description in RNAcentral is "partial small subunit ribosomal RNA". The record is from RNAcentral. Lineage: Eukaryota; Viridiplantae; Streptophyta; Magnoliopsida; Poales; Poaceae.
AUGAUGCGGGUGAACCUGUGGGCGGUGGCGGAGGUGACCGCCGCGGUGCUGCCGGGGAUGGUGGAGCGGGGCAGGGGCGCCGUCGUCAACAUGGGCUCAGCCUCGUCGGAGGCCAUCCCCUCCUUUCCCCUGCACACCAUGUACGCCGCCACCAAAAGGUAUGUUGCUCAGUUCUCCAGGAGCCUUUACGUUGAGUACAGAAGCAAAGGGAUCGAUGUGCAAUGCCAGGCUCCAUUCUACGUGGCGACCAGGAUGGUGUCAAGGCUGGCGGAGACCGGGCGGGCCGGGCGCCUCUCUAUGUUCCUCAUCGCGCCGACGCCCGACGCGUACGCGAGCGCGGCGGUGCGCUGGAUUGGCCACGGCCCGCCCCUCUGCGCUCCCAACCUUGGCCACCAGCUCCUGUGGUGCCUCGCCGCCGUCGUUCCGGACUUCGUCCACGAUUGGCUCCGCAUGCGCGAGCACCUGCAGCACAGAGCGCUGGCUCAGAGACCGCCGAAACGUCGCGCCGGCGUGCCAACAACUCUAAAGUGA